CUUCUCCAACGGCCGUUGACUUUUCUCCAUGGCGAUGACCCUUCCAUCCAUCCGUGGUCACAUUCCGGAGGGACAACCUGAGCCUUUCUCCGCUCCCUUCUCCGGAGGGAGGUCCUUCAGCCCUUGGAUCACCUCUGGGCUCCUUCCAACACCUCCACAUCCUUCCUACGCUUGAGGACUCCGGAGACGGACCCAGAAGCUCCUGGUGGGACCUCACCAGGGAGGAGAAGACGCGUCGGAUGGGGUCAUUUCUCCACGUGGAGACCUUUGGAUGAGUUCUUUGACCAUGAGGAACGCUUUGGGAGGUCCUUCAGCCCUUGGAUCACCUCUGGGCUCCUUCCAACACCUCCACAUCCUUCCUACGCUUGAGGACUCUGGAAGACGGACCCAGAAGCUCCUGGUGGGACCUCACCAGGGAGGAGAAGAUGCGUCGGAUGGGGUCAUUUCUCCACGUGGAGACCUUUGGAUGAGUUCUUUGACCACGAGGAACGCUUUGGGAGGUCCUUCAGCCCUUGGGUCACCUCUGGGCUCCUUCCAACACCUCCACAUCCUUCCUACGCUUGAGGACUCCGGAGAUGGAUCCAGAAGCUCCUGGUGGGACCUCACCAGGGAGGAGAAGAC
Molecule: long non-coding RNA, 621 nt
Organism: Cuculus canorus (common cuckoo)
Lineage: Eukaryota; Metazoa; Chordata; Aves; Cuculiformes; Cuculidae
Exons: 4
Source: RefSeq, a predicted model, not a curated record